GGAAUCUUGCGCAAUGGGCGAAAGCCUGACGCAGCAACGCCGCGUGCGGGAUGAAGGCCUUCGGGUUGUAAACCGCUUUUACCAGGAAGGAAACUGACAGUACCUGGAGAAUAAGGUGCGGCCAACUACGUGCCAGCAGCCGCGGUGACACGUAGGCACCAAGCGUUGUCCGGAUUUAUUGGGCGUAAAGAGCUCGUAGGCGGUUCAGUAAGUCGGGUGUGAAAACUCUGGGCUCAACCCAGAGACGCCACCCGAUACUGCUGUGACUUGAGUCCGGUAGGGGAGUGGGGAAUUCCUGGUGUAGCGGUGAAAUGCGCAGAUAUCAGGAGGAACACCAAUGGCGAAGGCACCACUCUGGGCCGAGACUGACGCUGAGGAGCGAAAGCGUGGGUAGCAAACAGGAUUAGAUACCCUGGUAGUCCACGCCGUAAACGGUGGGCACUAGAUGUGGGUUCCAACCAACGGAAUCCGUGUCGGCGCUAACGCAUUAAGUGCCCCGCCUGGGGAGUACGGCCGCAAGGUUAAAACUCAAAUGAAUUGACGG
RNAcentral lists this ribosomal RNA (544 nucleotides) under uncultured bacterium. RNAcentral's name for it is "bacterial SSU rRNA". It matches the Rfam family "Bacterial small subunit ribosomal RNA", at positions 358 to 916 of the family's 1533-position model. The record is from RNAcentral.